This 72-nucleotide transfer RNA is filed under the name Urocitellus parryii (Arctic ground squirrel). Its description in RNAcentral is "Spermophilus parryii (Arctic ground squirrel) tRNA". It matches the Rfam family "tRNA". From Rfam's summary of the family: Transfer RNA (tRNA) molecules are approximately 80 nucleotides in length. Their secondary structure includes four short double-helical elements and three loops (D, anti-codon, and T loops). The record is from Rfam by way of RNAcentral. RNAcentral also lists the same sequence under 1 other name. Lineage: Eukaryota; Metazoa; Chordata; Mammalia; Rodentia; Sciuridae.
UGAUGUAUAGCUCAGUGGUAGAGAGCCUGCCUAGCAUGCAUGAGGCCUUGGGUUCAGUUUCAAGUACCUUAA